GAUGAAGAACGUAGCGAAAUGCGAUACUUGGUGUGAAUUGCAGAAUCCCGUGAACCACCGAGUCUUUGAACGCAAGUUGCGCCCGAAGCCACUAGGCCGAGGGCACGCCUGCCUGGGCGUCACACGCCGUUGCCCCCCCAUCUACUCCUUCGGGAUUGCGGGGGGGCGGAUGAUGGCCUCCUGUGCGCCUAGCCGCGCGGUUGGCAUAAAUACCAAGUCCUCGGCGACGCACGCCACGACAAUCGGUGGUUGCGAAACCUCGGUUGCCCGUCGUGUGCGUUCGUCGCGCAUCGAGGGCUCGAAAAAAUGCUCGGCUCCGGCUGGGCUUUCAACGCGACCCCAGGUCAGGCGGGGUUACCCGCUGAAUUUAAGCAUAUCAAUAAGCGGAGGA
This 391-nucleotide unclassified non-coding RNA is filed under the name soil metagenome. RNAcentral describes it as "partial contains 5.8S ribosomal RNA, internal transcribed spacer 2, and large subunit ribosomal RNA". The stretch from base 1 to 122 matches the Rfam family "5.8S ribosomal RNA", at positions 35 to 154 of the family's 154-position model. The record is from RNAcentral.